Nematostella vectensis (starlet sea anemone) is the source of this 1464-nucleotide long non-coding RNA. RefSeq lists it as uncharacterized. The transcript has 2 exons. NCBI's taxonomy places the organism in Eukaryota, Metazoa, Cnidaria, Anthozoa, Actiniaria, Edwardsiidae. The record is from RefSeq and is a predicted model, not a curated record.
UGCUGUCGUAGCGAGGUCGCCUGAAGCGACCGAGCGGAGACAGCAACUCUAAUCAAUGAAAUGCGGGCUUCGAAGGACAAACUAGGCGCGCGAGCGUUUCUGGUCACACUUUGAAGUGUGACCAGUCUGUUUUGCGCGGUUGCAAUCGUAAGUGCGCAUGCGCCAGCUCGCAUGAGCGAACUGCACGGGUAAUAGACUGUGCUAGCGUCCCGUCUUGGCCCGACUGGUGCCAAUGUGUGUAUGCUAGUGUGCUUUUAAAGUCCACAUUUAUGAGAAACAAGAUGGCGGUCAUUUAUCACACUGACAAUAUUGACAGUUUUAUUGAAAGGGAAAGCAUCUUCAACUAUAACGAAGCUUCUUAAGGCAUUAAAGAUGUGACACCCUUAAUGGGGAGUUUUCAAUUAUUAUAGUCUUCAAAGAACAAGAGGAGCUAUUAAAGAAAUGAACUGCUUAUGGAAAUGUUGGGAACAGAGAAUACAUAUAAAAAAGACAGGCCAGGGAUCAGACUGGGUGACCCCAGCUGUUUAUGAUGCAUUUGAUGCAUAUCGAACCACUAAUACACAACAUGGUCAUCACAAAGUGAAAAUGCUGUUUUGUGACAAACUGAACACGAACAGCUGAACAUUGUUGUUUAUACUCUAACAUACUGACCGAGUAUAAAACAUUUUAUCUGUAUUCUACAUUUAAUAACACAAACCAGUUAAGGGCGGGCAUCUCUUUAUUGAUAGCUUGUGGUGGCAUGUAUACAAUAGAAAUAAUUGUAAAGAAUGCAACUACAGAAGUUUAAAUCAACGCGAUCUAAAUUGUGAAAGAGACGCUUCGAAUGACCUUGCAUAUCUUACGACUCUUUAAAUACCGACUCAAUUAAACUCCCAUGGGAGGUAUUUGUGUACAUUCCGAAACGUGAUAAAAUACAUUUAUGAUAAAUUUGAUCCCCUCCAACAUUGUGCAUAAAAAGUCACAAAUUCCAAAUCAAAUGGAGAUGGUUAAUUGAGCAUGCAGUAUUGAAAAUUAAUCUGAUGAUGUUGCCCAGCAUUGCAUAGAAAAAGCCACAAAUACUACAUGAUCUAACAGUACCAGAACUGUAAUAGCUGUGUUUUAUUUUGAUGCUGCCAGACUUUGAAUGAGAACCUUUCUUUCAUUACAGUUAAUACUUCUGUUUCAAGAUAGAUUAUAUCAACUGCAACUGCAUUAAAAAAAAUUGAAGAAAAGCAAAGCCCUUUCCACAAAAUCUUAAAUAAAUAGUAAUUAAAUAGUAAAAAGAUAAAAUAAAAAUAAAAUGCUAUGAUAAAACUACAGUAUCAUUUAAUAAGUUCUGGUAUCUCACACUAUGCAGUGCAGGUGCCUAUUUUUUGUUGUUAUUGUUUAUUUUUUCCGGUGAUGUAGUGAAAAUCUGUCUCCUGAUGACCAGUUUCUAACGCUCGAUUCUUGAGUGACAUUAAUAAAACUUGGAAGAGAAGGGAA